Molecule: transfer RNA, 72 nt
Filed under: Nanobdellota archaeon
Lineage: Archaea; Nanobdellati; Nanobdellota
Also listed under: 2 other names
Description: tRNA-Arg
Rfam family: tRNA
About the family: Transfer RNA (tRNA) molecules are approximately 80 nucleotides in length. Their secondary structure includes four short double-helical elements and three loops (D, anti-codon, and T loops).
Source: RNAcentral
GGGCUUGUAGUUUAAUGGAUAGAAUAACUGGUUUCGGCCCAGUUGAUGGGGGUUCGAUUCCCUCCGAGCCCG